AUACCUUGAUUAGUUGAAGUUGUUUGGAACCUUAAACAGUUGAUUGUCCAGGUUCCUGAACAGAAUAGUUAAUAUAUUUGGUACCACCUUUAUAUAGUCAUCAAGCAUCCCUUUUUGUCUUUCAGUUAGUAGAUGCCAGAUAGCUACUACCGACCAAAUAAGGCGACUUCCAUUUUCAUUAACCACGACUAAAUAAUUCUUCUAACAAAAAUUGCACAACCUAAAUAUUCCAUCCAUAUAGCUGUAGAAGCUAUGAGCACCAAAG
This 265-nucleotide unclassified non-coding RNA is filed under the name Hevea brasiliensis (rubber tree). Lineage: Eukaryota; Viridiplantae; Streptophyta; Magnoliopsida; Malpighiales; Euphorbiaceae. The record is from RNAcentral.